Molecule: ribosomal RNA, 425 nt
Filed under: uncultured bacterium
Lineage: Bacteria
Description: partial 16S ribosomal RNA
Rfam family: Bacterial small subunit ribosomal RNA
Source: RNAcentral
GUGGGGAAUCUUGCGCAAUGGGCGAAAGCCUGACGCAGCCAUGCCGCGUGAAUGAUGAAGGUCUUAGGAUUAUAAAAUUCUUUCACCGGGGACGAUAAUGACGGUACCCGGAGAAGAAGCUCCGGCUAACUUCGUGCCAGCAGCCGCGGUAAUACGAAGGGGGCUAGCGUUGCUCGGAAUUACUGGGCGUAAAGGGCGCGUAGGCGGACAGCUUAGUCAGAGGUGAAAGCCCAGGGCUCAACCUUGGAAUUGCCUUUGAUACUGGCUGUCUUGAGUAUGGGAGAGGUGAGUGGAACUCCGGGUGUAGAGGUGAAAUUCGUAGAUAUUCGGAAGAACACCAGUGGCGAAGGCGACUCACUGGCCCAAUACUGACGCUGAGGCGCGAAAGCGUGGGGAGCAAACAGGAUUAGAUACCCGUGUAGUCC